UACGAAGGGGGCUAGCGUUGCUCGGAAUCAUUGGGCGUAAAGCGCGCGUAGGCGGCCCUGUAAGUCCGUUGUGAAAGUCAAAGGCUCAACCUUUGAAAGCCGAUGGAUACUGCAGGGCUAGAGUCCGGAAGAGGCGAGUGGAAUUCCUGGUGUAGCGGUGGAAUGCGCAGAUAUCAGGAGGAACACCGGUGGCGAAGGCGGUUCUCUGGGCAUUACCUGACGCUGAGGAGCGAAAGUGUGGGGAGCGAACAGG
This 253-nucleotide ribosomal RNA is filed under the name uncultured bacterium. Its description in RNAcentral is "partial 16S ribosomal RNA". It matches the Rfam family "Bacterial small subunit ribosomal RNA", at positions 524 to 776 of the family's 1533-position model. The record is from RNAcentral.